Molecule: transfer RNA, 64 nt
Filed under: Bombus waltoni
Lineage: Eukaryota; Metazoa; Arthropoda; Insecta; Hymenoptera; Apidae
Description: tRNA-Val
Source: RNAcentral
AAAAUUUUAGUUUAAUAAAAACGUUUCAUUUACAUUGAAAAAUUUAAUGUAUAUUAAAAUUUUA